Long non-coding RNA from Telopea speciosissima, 93 nucleotides. RefSeq lists it as uncharacterized. The transcript is spliced from 3 exons. The record is from RefSeq and is a predicted model, not a curated record. NCBI's taxonomy places the organism in Eukaryota, Viridiplantae, Streptophyta, Magnoliopsida, Proteales, Proteaceae.
GUAAAGGAUCGUCAACAAGGUUGUUCUAGUGCGUUGUAGAUUCUUAUCCAAGACUUGUAUCAUUUGAUGAUGCCAUAUACUUCACUUCUUUUU